UACGUAGGGUCCAAGCGUUAAUCGGAAUUACUGGGCGUAAAGCGUGCGCAGGCGGCUUUAUAAGCCAGAUGUGAAAUCCCCGGGCUUAACCUGGGAAUGGCAUUUGGGACUGUAAGGCUAGAGUACGGCAGAGGGGACUAGAAUUCCUGGUGUAGCAGUGAAAUGCGUAGAUAUCAGGAGGAAUACCGAUGGCGAAGGCAGGUCCCUGGGUCGAUACUGACGCUCAUGCACGAAAGCGUGGGGAGCAAACAGG
Molecule: ribosomal RNA, 253 nt
Filed under: uncultured bacterium
Lineage: Bacteria
Description: partial 16S ribosomal RNA
Rfam family: Bacterial small subunit ribosomal RNA
Source: RNAcentral